Molecule: long non-coding RNA, 974 nt
Organism: Biomphalaria glabrata
Lineage: Eukaryota; Metazoa; Mollusca; Gastropoda; Planorbidae
Exons: 3
Source: RefSeq, a predicted model, not a curated record
CUGGGUUGUUCUAACUAUCCUCUAAAAAAAUGACCUAACUUGUUUUAUUAGAUUCUAGACCAGAUUUAAUCUAAAUAACCAACACUGGUACAUUUAGAUUUAGACUACGUCUACAUCUGUGACCAUGGCUAGGCUCAUUUAAUUGGAUUCUAGAUUAGUAGAUAUCUAGAUCUAUCAGAAUCUAAAAUUUGAUUUAUAUCUAGAUCUAACAGAUCUAAAUUUAUUUAAAAAAAUGACAGCCUUAUUUUUUGUUUCAAAUUUUCAGAGACAACUACUUCAACUAGAUAAAAGUGUUUUGAUAGGAAAGCAUAAUCAUAAGCAUUUCUACACUAUAAAAGGAGUUUUGAGUUCCAUUUCAAAGAAUAAAACAGACCUACACUUGAAAAUAAGUCAAAAAUGUUUUUUUCAAAGUCAAACGUUUCGUAGUUCUCAAAAUAAAUGUCCAAGUAGAUCCAGUUGGGGCUGGAGUAAAUCAUUUUGUUUUGCUAAUUUUGGCCAAUUUCUGAAAAGGCAUUUUUGCACAGAAAACCUUUUAGAUUUAAAUGUAAAAAAUGUGGUUCAUGACGUAAUAAUAUAUUCAAACAAAAAUGAAUCGUUUUUUAAGAUUUUGUCCUACGCUGGUGUAUUUCAAAUGAUUCUUUGGGGAUAUCUUUCUUUCUUUGCUGUUCAGGAUCUCAGAGUUGCACCUUUGAAAGAUACCAGUAAUUUACCUUUAUGGAAAAGACUGCUUUAUAAGGAAGGACAAUACAAAAAUGCAAUUAGUGUUUUGAGCCUAGCAGUUGAACAUUGUCGACAUUGACAAAGUACCUGUAAAGAUUUUCAAGUCUCUUUUAAAAAAUGGAUGUGCUAUUCUUUUCAUCUCAUUAAGCUACCCACGAAGAGCCAUCAAAAGUUUAUGGUUACUUAAAGGUGGACAAGAGGUGAAGAUAACAACAUUUAGCCCAUUUGGAAAGGAAAAUACCUUCAUUAAACCC